AUUGAACGCUGGCGGCAUGCCUUACACAUGCAAGUCGAACGGUAACAGGUCUUCGGAUGCUGACGAGUGGCGAACGGGUGAGUAACACGUGGGUGACGUACCCUUCAGACCGGGAUAGCCUUUAGAAAUAGAGGAUAAUACCGGGUACGGUCGCAUAUGUCAGAGGUAUGCGAGGAAAGGAGCUCCGGCUCCGCUGAAGGAACGGCCUGCGGCCAAUCAGCUAGUUGGCGGGGUAACGGCCCACCAAGGCAGCAAAGGGUAUCCGGCCUAAGAGGGCGAACGGACACAUUGGGACUGAGAUACGGCCCAGACUCCUACGGGAGGCAGCAGGUAAGAAUGUUCCGCAAUGGGCGAAAGCCUGACGGAGCGACGCCGCGUGGAUGAUGAAGGCCGGAAGGUUGUAAAAUCCUUUUAUGACCGACGAAUAAGCAUGCGAGGAAAUGAGCAUGCGGUGACGGUAGGUCAUGAAUAAGCACCGGCUAAUUACGUGCCAGCAGCCGCGGUAA
This 506-nucleotide ribosomal RNA is filed under the name uncultured bacterium. RNAcentral describes it as "partial 16S ribosomal RNA". It matches the Rfam family "Bacterial small subunit ribosomal RNA", at positions 29 to 523 of the family's 1533-position model. The record is from RNAcentral.